Molecule: long non-coding RNA, 1850 nt
Filed under: Arabidopsis thaliana (thale cress)
Lineage: Eukaryota; Viridiplantae; Streptophyta; Magnoliopsida; Brassicales; Brassicaceae
Description: long non-coding RNA (ATHA_LNC000364)
Rfam family: mir-156 microRNA precursor family (bases 142-239)
Source: RNAcentral
UAAGGUCUAGAGUCUUGUUCUUAAUCCCCUAACAGAACAAUGAUAUAUAUAAAUAAAUAUGGGUCGAUAUCGGCUGUGGAGGACGACUAGCUACGGUUUCGAGCCUGGUCACAUGCGUAGAGUGUGAAAGGUAAUUAGGAGGUGACAGAAGAGAGUGAGCACACAUGGUGGUUUCUUGCAUGCUUUUUUGAUUAGGGUUUCAUGCUUGAAGCUAUGUGUGCUUACUCUCUCUCUGUCACCCCUUCUCUCUCUCUCUCUUUUCAAUUACAAGGUUAAUUAUAACUAGUAAAAGGUCUCUGAUUUGGUAUGAUAUAGUUAAGGUUUUAAUUAGUUAUAUUAUCAUCAAACGGAUCAAAGUAGGUCGAAGGGAUGAGUAGUACAUAUGCAACUUUUGUUAUAAUACUAUGUUUUUAUAUAUAUCAAAUAUUUUGUUCUGAAUUGUAAACGUCAACUCGGUAAUAUCCACAUAAAGUACUCUAACAUUUUAAUUAUGCAGGGUUUAAUCAGCAAUAUAAUUUUGGGAAAAAGUAGAUCUAUAACGUACGAUGAAGCAAAAAAAAUAAAAAAUAAAAAUCAUUUUGUCAUUGUUUUCAAACAUAAUUAGAUAUAGCUACUAUGUGUCUUCUAGCCAUAAGCAUAUCUAUUAGUAUUUAUUUAAAAUUAAUGACUAUUUACCUCCUAAAAACAAACAUGUACAUGUUUUUGUUUCAAGAUGUUUGGAGUGCUUAUGUUAAUCUCUAUGCAGUUAGACGUAUAUGCCUAUCAUAUUAUAUUUGUUAUAAGAAUUUGGCUACCAAUGUACUUUGGUGUACUUUGUGUGAUAAAUAUUUUGUCAUCGGAAAUUUGAUUGAAAUCCUAAACUUUGAUACGUUUGUUGUAACAUGUAAGUAUGAUAUUUGGUUGAUUAAGUUUUUCUAUGAAUCGAAUGCUUGAUUUCUUUUCCAAAAUCACAAAUACAAUUUUUUAAAAUCUGAGGAGCAAAGGAAGCCGACAUAGACGACGGUUGAAAUUAGGGUUUAUAAACGUUAUUUACAUGUAUAUAUACUUUAUGUUGUAAAAUUUUCACAUAGGCUAGUGAUGGAUCAUGGAUGCUAAUAUUUGUUCAUAUACGAUUAUGUUAAUUAUUUAUAAAAAUAAAAUAAAAUAUUUACUUAAAUUUUCCUUCAAAACAAUUAUCCAAAGAAAAGUCUUCAAUAAUUAUAUUGACCUAAGUCACAAAAUAAACCAGUUUUAACUUUUAACAUAACUUAUGGAAAUUGUGACUAAAAUACCAGUCUGAUAUACCUCUGAAGCUGCCCUCUCCUACUUGAAAAAUGUAGACGAAAUCCAAAGACGUUUCGCCAAAUUUCUCAAUAAUUCAAAGAAAAAAAAAACUCAAAUCGCAAAAUUGCUCAUAUACAUGUUUUUAGAUGUAUUAGUUAUGCAUGUGUACUCAUCCACCCAAAGAAAGAGUUAACAAUUACGAAAAAAAGAAUAGGACUGGGUGAGAUGAGGAUCUUGUGUGACUAAAUCAAAGUUUCGAAAAAUUCUUGCAAGAAUGGCUCCAAAAUCGUACUUUCAUCUUUUCAUCAGUAGUAAAAAAAUUGGAUGCAGUCUCAAUUCGACAUAAUCCCAUCAAAUUUAUACCAUAAUGCAUUGAUACUCUUCACUUAAUUUUAAAGCUUUUGUUGUCUCUCUCUCUCUAUGUGUGUAUUAGCAUAUAAUUCUUACAACAAAAGACAAAUUUAUGAAAAAUUUCUCAAGACUCGGGUGUUAUCUCAGGAGUCUGCAAAGGAAUGGGACUGUUAUCUUCUUCUUUCGCGUUUGGAUUCUCGGCUUGUUUUUCUUCAGGUUGGGAGGCUACACCAUUC